This 444-nucleotide ribosomal RNA is filed under the name uncultured bacterium. RNAcentral describes it as "SSU rRNA". It matches the Rfam family "Bacterial small subunit ribosomal RNA", at positions 26 to 518 of the family's 1533-position model. The record is from RNAcentral.
AGAGCGAACGCUGGCGGCAGGCCUAACACAUGCAAGUCGAGCGCCCGUAGCAAUACGGGAGCGGCAGACGGGAUAGUAACACGUGGGAACGCGCCCUUCGGUUCGGAAUAACUCAGGGAAACUUGAGCUAAUACCGAAUACGCCCUUACGGGGAAAGAUUUAUUGCCGAAGGAACGGCCCGCGUCCUAUUAGCUAGUUGGUGAGGUAAUGGCUCACCAAGGCUACGAUCGGUAGCUGGUCUGAGAGGAUGACCAGCAUCACUGGGACUGAGACACGGCCCAGACUCCUACGGGAGGCAGCAGUGGGGAAUAUUGGACAAUGGGCGAAAGCCUGAUCCAGCCAUGCCGCGUGGAUGAUGAAGGCCCUAGGGUUGUAAAGUCCUUUAACGGGAAGAUAAUGACGGUACCGUAGAAUAAGCCCGGCUAACUUCGUGCCAGCAGCCGC